GCAAAGAUGGGAAUAGUCAUUCCAAAGAUAAAGACUCUGGCGGAUCUCAUCAAAUAAAGCUACUUGACCAUCCAUAGGAUCAUGGAACAAGAAGAAUCUUUCCGAUGUGCUGGCUACUUUCCAGGAGUCUGUGAGACUCCGCAGCCUCAGAUAAUGGAAAAUGAUUAUAGACCACAGGCUUCACCUUGCCUUCAACAAUUGCAGGCCAAACAUUCUUCUCCACCUCAUU
Molecule: unclassified non-coding RNA, 229 nt
Filed under: Hevea brasiliensis (rubber tree)
Lineage: Eukaryota; Viridiplantae; Streptophyta; Magnoliopsida; Malpighiales; Euphorbiaceae
Source: RNAcentral